CCUACGGGGGGCUGCAGUGGGGAAUAUUGGACAAUGGGGGGAACCCUGAUCCAGUCAUGCCGCGUGUGUGAAGAAGGCCCUCGGGUUGUAAAGCACUUUCAGUGAGGAAGAACGCCUGGUGGUUAAUACCCAUCAGGAAAGACAUCACUCACAGAAGAAGCACCGGCUAACUCCGUGCCAGCAGCCGCGGUAAUACGGAGGGUGCGAGCGUUAAUCGGAAUUACUGGGCGUAAAGCGCGCGUAGGUGGCUUGAUAAGCCGGUUGUGAAAGCCCCGGGCUCAACCCGGGAACGGCAUCCGGAACUGUCAAGCUAGAGUGCAGGAGAGGAAGGUAGAAUUCCCGGUGUAGCGGUGAAAUGCGUAGAGAUCGGGAGGAAUACCAGUGGCGAAGGCGGCCUUCUGGACUGACACUGACACUGAGGUGCGAAAGCGUGGGUAGCAAACAGGAUUAGAUACCCCAGUAGUC
This 465-nucleotide ribosomal RNA is filed under the name Vreelandella stevensii. RNAcentral's name for it is "partial 16S ribosomal RNA". It matches the Rfam family "Bacterial small subunit ribosomal RNA", at positions 338 to 795 of the family's 1533-position model. Lineage: Bacteria; Pseudomonadati; Pseudomonadota; Gammaproteobacteria; Oceanospirillales; Halomonadaceae. The record is from RNAcentral.